GCCGCCACCACCUCUGACCCUCUACGCGCAGCCCGCCUCCUCCCUCUCAACCCUAAUCGCUCAGGAGCAAUCCAUGGCAGACUCCGACACCGCCGACCGGAAGGAGGAGGUGCCGAGGAGGAGAAGAGCGGAGAGGAAGGUGGAGCCCGCUGCCGCCACCGCUUGCGAGGUACAUGGCACCCACAGCUCUCUCUCACCCGCUUCCGCCUCAGCACUCCACGGGAGGAACGCCGAGAUCCAUCGCCUCCGCAGCCGCGCCCUCCGAUAGCGAGUCGUCCUUUUACUGUUUACUGAUAUUACUAGCAAACUUUCGCAUCCACAUCUAGCAGCUUUCGCAUUCGAACUCGUCUUCCUCCGUGUGCCGCCGCCGGGCAUUCUCCUCGGCGCUCCAGUAGGGAGGGGAUCUUCCGCUCGCGCCGCCGGCGAGACGGAAUCCUGCUCGCACCCCACCGCAAGGGACGGGAUCAUGCGAGCGUGCAACAAGUUAGGGUCCGAACCCUAGCUCUGGUCGCUGCCUUCCUCAACCCUCCUGUGACCUCGUGGUUCUCCGAUGCGCCUCACGUCAGUUCCAGUCGGCUGCCAUGCCUCGCGCCUCCUCCUUGGCCGCUCAUGACCAGACGUUGCCAACGAGAUCCAUGGAGGCACCAGGUAGUCGCCCUCCCUGUUCGGCUCUUCCACUACCCUCUGGUAGCAUAUGCCGCCUCUCCUUGUCCUCCAUCGAGCAGCAGCAGCCACUUCAUCCAUCGAGCAGCAAAGGCCCCUCCUCCCUCCAUCAGGGCGAGAAGCAGCUAGCAGGUAGCAGAAAAUUCUGAUUCAUGUUAUGUAUAUAUGUGCCGAUGAAUCUGCUGCAGCCACCAUGGUUACCCUACUCUUUUGUGCUCUUCUAUGUUUCGUCACAAUCAUUAAUUAAUUAUUAGUCACAAAAUAUUUAGCACUUUUGCCAUGUCUAAUAUUGCCAUUUCCAAGUGAUGGAGCGCUGCAUUAUAAGCCCAAACAGGUGAGAAGACCAUACAUUAUUGUUAUGAGUUCACAAGCUGUUUAGUGAUGAACAUGAACUGUAGUAACUAAAUUAUUAUAUGCAAUUCCCAAUUCCUCUGUUACUCUGAUUGAUGGUAAUUAUCAUUCAUCAAAUUUCUCUCUACCCUGAUUCAUGAGUAAUUGUAAUAACACUCUAAAAAUAUAUGCUAGAAGCAGCACUCUUCCAGCUAGUGGAAAUGGGUUAGUUACGCCCUUGCUGACUUUAAAUGAAAGAUUAACAUCCUUACAUAUUCUACUAUUUGUUAUCUGAAUAUUAGACCCUGUGUUGACAUCUCUCUGUUACUUAAGACUCAUUCUAUUAUCAGAAUAAACCGAAUAUAUCUUUUUUUUUAACUCCAAAGGUUGUUUAUUGUUCUACAUGUGCAUGUAUCUUUAUUGACGAGCUAUAUGUACUUGUAGGAAUACAAGCCUGGUUACACUGCACCACCUCGUGUUGAACCAGAUGAGACAACCAUAGACAUCGACUUUUCUUGCUGCGAGCUGCUGCAUUUCUGCUGCCGUCCUAUAUUAUGGCUUUGAUCUUCAGUAUUUUGCAUCGCUGGCGACAAAGACAGGAAGAGGCUGCACUGGCAGCAGCAGAGGUAGCCUUCAUCCUACAGUCAGCCCAGGGAUGGGCCUCCAGUUUGCUAUUGCUCCAGAGUCCCCUGCCACUCCGCAGCAGGAGCAGGAGUCAUCGCUGUUGUGUUGGAGAGCUACUCAUUGAAUAUUACGACAGUCAAAGGAUUUGAAACAUUUUUGGCAAGUCUAAAAGCCAGCUUUCACGAAUUUCAACAAUUCAAUAUGUGCCAAGAAUUUGAAGGAGUAAAGAAAUGGCACAACUGCUAUGGACGUCAAGCUACAAGAGUGAAUACAAAUUGUUGAAAUCAAGAGACACCAACAAGCUUGCAAGAAAUUGCUAGCUGUUAUUUGGCACUGUACUUUGAUUCAAAGUGUAUAGAGAUGCUCUGUAAAGCCUUCUUUAGAACGGUCAAAGUGUAUGUUAGUUUUGUAUGAUGGAAUGCAAAUGAUGGGCAAUUGACGCCUGCAUUAAAUUUUUUUGUUUUUUAAUUCAA
Panicum virgatum (switchgrass) is the source of this 2090-nucleotide long non-coding RNA. RefSeq lists it as uncharacterized. NCBI's taxonomy places the organism in Eukaryota, Viridiplantae, Streptophyta, Magnoliopsida, Poales, Poaceae. The record is from RefSeq and is a predicted model, not a curated record. The transcript is spliced from 6 exons.